Capsicum annuum is the source of this 1190-nucleotide long non-coding RNA. RefSeq lists it as uncharacterized. The transcript has 3 exons. NCBI's taxonomy places the organism in Eukaryota, Viridiplantae, Streptophyta, Magnoliopsida, Solanales, Solanaceae. The record is from RefSeq and is a predicted model, not a curated record.
AUGGCUGCCCUUUUGCUGCAAGACUUCCAAGUCUUCCACUAACAAGAAUGUUCUCUGAAAGUUCUUUCACAGCACACAAUUUACUCGCAACAUCACUUUCAUUUUGAGCUUGUUUUUUUUCUUCUUCAAAUGUUUUGUUCAUACUUCAUCCACAAGAACAUACCCUUGUAAUCCCACGAAGUGGGGUUUGAGGAAGUUAGAGCAUACGCAGUCCAUACCACUACCUCACAAGGAGUAGAGAACAAACAACUUGAUGGAAUAACAAAACCAAAAGAGAAUAACAGAACAAACCCACAGAGUAGUACUAUAAACUAUCUACAUCAACAAGACACCACGAACACAAGAAACUCCAAGACACCUGCAAAGUACUACGACUACUGGCCAGGCCACAAACAAAGCGUCCCUUCAUCCACAUGUUGGAAAAUCCAGUUACAUAUUUUCUUUUUUCUGCUAUUGAUGUUUCUUUGUACAAAAGAGUUCAUCAUGGACUUAGUUUCUUGGUUUUUUGCCUUCAUUUUCUUUCAUUUGUUGUGCUUUGAUUCAGCACAUGGACAGACCACAUACCACUCAAGCUGCACCGAGAAAUUCUACUGUGGAAUGUUUAGUAGUUUCAGUUUUCCUUUCUAUAAAUCUAGUGAACCUGAUUGUGGAUUGUGGAAGGUGGAUUGUGAUAAUCAUUUAAUUGAAUUAGAAGGGAUGAAGUUUGAAAUUCUUGAGAAAUAUGAUGUUUUUAUGAGACUUAAAGUCCCUAUUCUUGGAGACCUUUUGAAGAACAACAGUUGCCAGACGUUUGAUAAAGAUAUCACUCUCCCUUUUUCUCCUUCAAUCAGGUAUAGAACUAACAUCCUUCUCACUUUGUACAAAUGCAACAGUAGCAUCAAGACACUUGGAGAAGUUUUCGAUUCCAAAAUUUUUCAAAGCUAUGCCUGUGGUUAAGUGAUAGAUUCACGCUAUCAUGGACUGUGUCUGAAGAGUGUAAUGCGUGUUAUUAUCGAGGAGGCAUGUGUCAAACAAAUAAUGCUACUAAGGAGUUUUACUGUCGUAAUACCAGCAAAGUUGCAGGUUAUCGUAGAAAUAUGAGAGUGAUUGUUGCAGUUGCAAGUUCCAUUUUCACUUGUGCUGGGAUCCUGAUUUGGCUUUUCGGCUUCAAAAUAAAGAUUUCCUGGCACAAAUGCCUCAGUUUUUGGGAA